UUUCUAGCACCAAUGGACUCCUUAGUGUACUGACUAAAGAAUUGUUAAGUGACAUUUGAAGUAUUUAGUGACUUUUCAUGUGAUUUCUCAAUUAUAACUUUAGGGCUUGAAGUUCCUGAACUAUGUUCAUUGACAAUGAGGUGUUGUGUUUUAGGAAUAUAAAGACUUCCUCUAUUUCCUUAGUUUGAUUUUCAUCCAAUAUUCUUGUAACUAUAUCUCAUAUGCUUGGUUCUUC
RNAcentral lists this long non-coding RNA (235 nucleotides) under Lathyrus oleraceus (garden pea). Its description in RNAcentral is "Pisum sativum (pea) long non-coding RNA (PSAT_LNC010146)". The record is from RNAcentral. Lineage: Eukaryota; Viridiplantae; Streptophyta; Magnoliopsida; Fabales; Fabaceae.